GACGAACGCUGGCGGCGCGCCUAACACAUGCAAGUCGAACGAGCGAGAGAGAGCUUGCUUUCUCAAGCGAGUGGCGAACGGGUGAGUAACGCGUGAGGAACCUGCCUCAAAGAGGGGGACAACAGUUGGAAACGACUGCUAAUACCGCAUAAGCCCACGGGUCGGCAUCGACCAGAGGGAAAAGGAGCAAUCCGCUUUGAGAUGGCCUCGCGUCCGAUUAGCUAGUUGGUGAGGUAAUGGCCCACCAAGGCGACGAUCGGUAGGCGGACUGAGAGGUUGAACGGCCACAUUGGGACUGAGACACGGCCCAGACUCCUACGGGAGGCAGCAGUGGGGAAUAUUGCACAAUGGGGGAAACCCUGAUGCAGCGACGCCGCGUGGAGGAAGAAGGUCUUCGGAUUGUAAACUCCUGUUGUUGAGGAAGAUAAUGACGGUACUCAACAAGGAAGUGACGGCUAACUACGUGCCAGCAGCCGCGGUAAAACGUAGGUCACAAGCGUUGUCCGGAAUUACUGGGUGUAAAGGGAGCGCAGGCGGGAAGACAAGUUGGAAGUGAAAUCUAUGGGCUCAACCCAUAAACUGCUUUCAAAACUGUUUUUCUUGAGUAGUGCAGAGGUAGGCGGAAUUCCCGGUGUAGCGGUGGAAUGCGUAGAUAUCGGGAGGAACACCAGUGGCGAAGGCGGCCUACUGGGCACCAACUGACGCUGAGGCUCGAAAGUGUGGGUAGCAAACA
This 733-nucleotide ribosomal RNA is filed under the name uncultured bacterium. RNAcentral's name for it is "bacterial SSU rRNA". It matches the Rfam family "Bacterial small subunit ribosomal RNA", at positions 28 to 774 of the family's 1533-position model. The record is from RNAcentral.